RNAcentral lists this ribosomal RNA (238 nucleotides) under uncultured bacterium. RNAcentral's name for it is "partial 16S ribosomal RNA". It matches the Rfam family "Bacterial small subunit ribosomal RNA", at positions 84 to 339 of the family's 1533-position model. The record is from RNAcentral.
CCGCAAGGGGAGCGGCAGACGGGUGAGUAACGCGUGGGAAUCUACCCAUCUCUACGGAAUAACGCAUGGAAACGUGUGCUAAUACCGUAUACGUCCUUCGGGAGAAAGAUUUAUCGGAGAUGGAUGAGCCCGCGUUGGAUUAGCUAGUUGGUGGGGUAAAGGCCUACCAAGGCGACGAUCCAUAGCUGGUCUGAGAGGAUGAUCAGCCACACUGGGACUGAGACACGGCCCAGACUCC